Molecule: transfer RNA, 71 nt
Filed under: Apolygus lucorum
Lineage: Eukaryota; Metazoa; Arthropoda; Insecta; Hemiptera; Miridae
Description: tRNA-Lys
Rfam family: tRNA
About the family: Transfer RNA (tRNA) molecules are approximately 80 nucleotides in length. Their secondary structure includes four short double-helical elements and three loops (D, anti-codon, and T loops). Further hydrogen bonds mediate the characteristic L-shaped molecular structure. tRNAs have two regions of fundamental functional importance: the anti-codon, which is responsible for specific mRNA codon recognition, and the 3' end, to which the tRNAs corresponding amino acid is attached (by aminoacyl-tRNA synthetases). tRNAs cope with the degeneracy of the genetic code in two manners: having more than one tRNA (with a specific anti-codon) for a particular amino acid; and 'wobble' base-pairing, i.e. permitting non-standard base-pairing at the 3rd anti-codon position.
Source: RNAcentral
ACAUUAAGUGGCUGAAAGAAAGCAUUGGUCUCUUAAACCAAAUUAUAGUAAUUAUCACUUACUCUUAAUGG